This 577-nucleotide long non-coding RNA is filed under the name Homo sapiens (human). RNAcentral's name for it is "HSALNT0311913". The record is from RNAcentral. Lineage: Eukaryota; Metazoa; Chordata; Mammalia; Primates; Hominidae.
UGUAAUCCCAGCAGUUUGGGAGGUCAACAUGGGUGAAUCACUUGAGGUCAGAAGUUUGGGACCAGCCCAGCCAAUGUGGCCCUGAUCAGGAAGUGAAGACAACAUGACUGUGGAGAAGAGAGCCGGGAAGGGAAGAAGCUCAAUAAUGAGUGCAUUCUAGGCCAGCUUCCCCAGUGAGAGCAUCAAGGUUGAUGGAAGAACAUGAGGGGAAGUGGCAUGAGAGCAAGCCCGUGCUCUCCUCUACAGAGACAGAAGCCAGACAUGCCUUUUCCAUGUGCUGAUCUCCAAGUCCCAGCUAGUAGGUCACAUGACAUCACAGUCCUGCUCUUCCUCAAUGGUGAGCCUGCUGGAGCCUACCUUGCCUGAAUGCACUAAGAGCCAAGGUGUCUGGGAGUUUAUAUCCUCCAGGGACAGCCCUUAACAAGCCACCUCCCUCUGAGCUGGGUCUGCAUUGUUUCCAGAGCUCCCUGGGGGAUUCAGCCAAAGUCAUUUUUGGUGUAACUUUCUUAAUAUCUUUGAUUCCCUUCCUUCUGGCUUCCCUUUCUCUGGCUUUUCCUGGGAUCACCUCCCAAUAAAU